Molecule: ribosomal RNA, 579 nt
Filed under: uncultured bacterium
Lineage: Bacteria
Description: bacterial SSU rRNA
Rfam family: Bacterial small subunit ribosomal RNA
Source: RNAcentral
CCUACGGGAGGCAGCAGUAAGGAAUAUUGGACAAUGGGCGCAAGCCUGAUCCAGCCAUGCCGCGUGCAGGAAGACGGCCCUAUGGGUUGUAAACUGCUUUUAUACGGGAAGAAACCCCACUACGUGUAGUGGGCUGACGGUACUGUAAGAAUAAGGAUCGGCUAACUCCGUGCCAGCAGCCGCGGUAAUACGGAGGAUCCAAGCGUUAUCCGGAUUUAUUGGGUUUAAAGGGUGCGUAGGCGGUUUUGUAAGUCAGUGGUGAAAGUUUUCAGCUUAACUGAAAAAUUGCCAUUGAUACUGCAGGACUUGAGUACAGAUGAGGUAGGCGGAAUGUGACAAGUAGCGGUGAAAUGCAUAGAUAUGUCACAGAACACCGAUUGCGAAGGCAGCUUACUAAAGUGUAACUGACGCUGAGGCACGAAAGCGUGGGGAUCAAACAGGAUUAGAUACCCUGGUAGUCCACGCCCUAAACGAUGAUUACUCGAUGUGUGCGAUAAACAGUACGCGUCCAAGCGAAAGCGUUAAGUAAUCCACCUGGGGAGUACGGUCGCAAGAUUGAAACUUAAAGGAAAUUGACGG